RNAcentral lists this ribosomal RNA (206 nucleotides) under uncultured bacterium. RNAcentral describes it as "partial 16S ribosomal RNA". It matches the Rfam family "Bacterial small subunit ribosomal RNA", at positions 1294 to 1500 of the family's 1533-position model. The record is from RNAcentral.
CAGAUUGCAGGCUGCAACCCGCCUGCAUGAAGUCGGAAUUGCUAGUAAUCGCGGAUCAGCAUGCCGCGGUGAAUACGUUCCCGGGCCUUNUACACACCGCCCGUCACACCAUGGGAGCCGGUAAUACCCGAAGUCAGUAGUCCAACCACGUGAGGACGCUGCCGAAGGUAGGAUUGGCGACUGGGGUGAAGUCGUAACAAGGUAUC